CCCCAAGUAUGAUCCUGUUUAAGGACUGGAUUUAGGAUAACUACUUAGAGGUUAAAAGUCACAAGGGUGUAUGGAUGAGGCUGGAGUGAUCUGGGACCAAAGACAUCUAGGCUUGCUGUCAAGGCUUCUGAUCAACAUGAGAUGACCGCCGUGUGGUAAACUGAUGAACCCCGACCCUGAUCAACGUGAGAUGACCGCCGUGUGGUAAACUGAUGAACCCCGACCCUGAUGAACAUGAGAUGACCGCCGUGUGGUAAACUGAUGAACCCCGACCCUGAUCAACAUGAGAUGACCGCCGUGUGGUAAACUGAUGAACCCCGACCCUGAUCAACAUGAGAUGACCGCCGUGUGGUAAACUGAUGAACCCCGACCCUGAUGAACGUGAGAUGACCGCCGUGUCGUAAACUGAUGAACCCCGACCCUGAUGAACGUGAGAUGGCCGCCGUGUGGUAAACUGAUGAACCCCGACCCUGAUGAACGUGAGAUGGCCGCCGUGUGGUAAACUGAUGAACCCCGACCCUGAUGAACGUGAGAUGGCCGCCGUGUGGUAAACUGAUGAACCCCGACCCUGAUGAACGUGAGAUGACCGCCGUGUGGUAAACUGAUGAACCCCGACCCUGAUGAACGUGAGAUGGCCGCCGUGUGGUAAACUGAUGAACCCCGACCCUGAUCAACGUGAGAUGGCCGCCGUGUGGUAAACUGAUGAACCCCGACCCUGAUGAACAUGAGAUGGCCGCCGUGUGGUAAACUGAUGAACCCCGACCCUGAUGAACGUGAGAUGACCGCCGUGUGGUAAACUGAUGAACCCCGACCCUGAUGAACGUGAGAUGACCGCCGUGUGGUAAACUGAUGAACCCCGACCCUGAUCAACGUGAGAUGGCCGCCGUGUGGUAAACUGAUGAACCCCGACCCUGAUGAACGUGAGAUGGCCGCCGUGUGGUAAACUGAUGAACCCCGACCCUGAUGAACGUGAGAUGGCCGCCGUGUGGUAAACUGAUGAACCCCGACCCUGAUGAACGUGAGAUGGCCGCCGUGUGGUAAACUGAUGAACCCCGACCCUGAUCAACGUGAGAUGGCCGCCGUGUGGUAAACUGAUGAACCCCGACCCUGAUGAACGUGAGAUGGCCGCCGUGUGGUAAACUGAUGAACCCCGACCCUGAUGAACGUGAGAUGGCCGCCGUGUGGUAAACUGAUGAACCCCGACCCUGAUCAACGUGAGAUGGCCGCCGUGUGGUAAACUGAUGAACCCCGACCCUGAUGAACGUGAGAUGGCCGCCGUGUGGUAAACUGAUGAACCCCGACCCUGAUGAACGUGAGAUGGCCGCCGUGUGGUAAACUGAUGAACCCCGACCCUGAUGAACGUGAGAUGGCCGCCGUGUGGUAAACUGAUGAACCCCGACCCUGAUGAACGUGAGAUGGCCGCCGUGUGGUAAACUGAUGAACCCCGACCCUGAUGAACGUGAGAUGGCCGCCGUGUGGUAAACUGAUGAACCCCGACCCUGAUCAACGUGAGAUGACCGCCGUGUGGUAAACUGAUGAACCCCGACCCUGAUCAACGUGAGAUGACCGCCGUGUGGUAAACUGAUGAACCCCGACCCUGAUCAACGUGAGAUGGCCGCCGUGUGGUAAACUGAUGAACCCCGACCCUGAUGAACGUGAGAUGGCCGCCGUGUGGUAAACUGAUGAACCCCGACCCUGAUCAACAUGAGAUGACCGCCGUGUGGUAAACUGAUGAACCCCGACCCUGAUGAACAUGAGAUGGCUGCCGUGUGGUAAACUGAUGAACCCCGACCCUGAUGAACAUGAGAUGACCGCCGUGUGGUAAACUGAUGAACCCCGACCCUGAUGAACAUGAGAUGGCCGCCGUGUGGUAAACUGAUGAACCCCGACCCUGAUGAACGUGAGAUGGCCGCCGUGUGGUAAACUGAUGAACCCCGACCCUGAUCAACAUGAGAUGACUGCCGUGUGGUAAACUGAUGAACCCCGACACUGAUCAACAUGAGAUGGCCGCUGUGUGGUAAACUGAUGAACCCUGGCCCAUUAGGCUUUGGCUACAGAAUGUGGAAAUAAGUUGUGUUACUACAUGUGUGUAAUCCUAGGGUUCAGGACACAGGCUGGGAGGUUCCAUAGAGUGAUGGGUUGUGCAGGUAACUCAUCCUCUAGUCCUCUGUAAGCUCCUAGAAGGAAGAAAUUAUGUCCUUUAGACUAAUAAAAUUCCUCCAAACCAAAUACAGCACCUACUGUGAAGACACAAAGAUACUUUUAGAAUAGUAAAAACUUUAUCCAUUGAGAAAUUCCUUAAUGAAACAGUAUCCAAGAAGUCAUUUGCCAGCAGAUUUCUUAGAGGUGCGAUAAAGAAGAGGACAUUGCCAGUCGUCACAGCAGCUGCAAUAGCUCCUCUCUAUUGUUAAACAGUGGGAUAUCUUGUACAGGUUUUCAGUUGACAAUCAAUUUUAAAGAUUAGUUUCAGUCCCCAUCAAUCAAUUAUUUAUUAACCCAUCAAUAAAAAUUUAAAUGCUC
Long non-coding RNA from Homo sapiens (human), 2520 nucleotides. RefSeq lists it as uncharacterized. The record is from RefSeq and is a predicted model, not a curated record. NCBI's taxonomy places the organism in Eukaryota, Metazoa, Chordata, Mammalia, Primates, Hominidae. The transcript has 2 exons.